UUUGUGGUGGGAAGGAACCACAAAAACCCUUUCAUACAUUAAGGACGCAGUUGAGCCUAGUGUGGUCGAAGCAGAUGAUGUAAAGUUAAAGAUUGCGUUUUCAGGUGUUUGUGGAUCUGACUUCCAUUUUAUGUCCGGGGAAAUGGGAAAGUUUGCACCGAAGAGUGAUGGAGUUAUAUUAGGUCAUGAAUACUCUGGAACUGUAGUUGAUAUUGGUUCUGCUGUACAGGAUCUGAAGGUCGGGGAUACAGUUGCAGUAAAUCCCAAUAAUUUUUUCAAAACUGUUCUUGGUGUAAAGAAAAUAAACCCAACUUUUGUGAAAACAACAUUAAUAUUGGAGUGAAAAAGAAUGGAGGUUGGGCGGAGUACUGUGUUGUGCCUGUCAAAUUGGUGCAUAAGUUACCAGAAGGUGUGUCUCUUGAAGGUGGUGCACUGGCUGAACCUUAUUCUUGUGUAUUGAGAGGCUGGAACUUGAUGCAUCAAAAACCGAUAAAAACAGCCAAAGUAUUAAUUCAGGGUGCUGGAAUAAUUGGAUCCAUGUUUGCCUGUUUGUUUCAUGUUAAUGGGUACAAAGAUGUAACAAUUUGCGAACCACAUGAAGUACGUCGGAAUAUUUGUUCUGGGUUGAGGCUGGGAUAUGAAAUUACACACCCGGAUGAAUUAGACAAGAUGAUGUCAAGUAAAGACGAAGACACACACGGUUUCGAUGUAAUCUUCGAUUGCACAGGAAAUUGCAGAGCUGUUCAGAAA
Non-coding RNA from Styela clava, 750 nucleotides. The record is from RefSeq and is a predicted model, not a curated record. NCBI's taxonomy places the organism in Eukaryota, Metazoa, Chordata, Ascidiacea, Stolidobranchia, Styelidae.